Molecule: long non-coding RNA, 4111 nt
Filed under: Bos grunniens (domestic yak)
Lineage: Eukaryota; Metazoa; Chordata; Mammalia; Artiodactyla; Bovidae
Description: lncRNA (ENSBGRG00000004625.1)
Source: RNAcentral
AUGUCCAUUGAGUCAAUGAUGCCAUCCAACCAUCUCGUCCUCUGUCGUCACCUUCUCCUCCCGCCUUCAGUCUUUCCCAGCAUCAGGGUCUUUUCCAGUGAGUCAGUUCUUCACAUCAGGUGGCCAAAAUAUUGGAGCUUUGUGGAUUUAGAAAAGGCCAAACUGCCAACCAAUUGCCAAAUUGCCAAUUUAGAGACCAAAUUGUCAAUAGCCGUUGGGUCAGAGAAAGCAAGGGAAUUCCAGAAAAACAUCUACUUCUGCUUCAUUGACUAUGCUUAAUGACUCUGUGAAUUACAACAAACUGUGGAAAUUCUUAAAGAGACGGGAAUACCAGACCAACUUACCUGCCUCCUGAGAAACCUGUAUGUAGGUCAAGAAUCAACAGUUAGAACUGGACAUGUAACAAAGGACUGGUUCAAAAGUGGGAAAGGAGUUCGUCAAAGCUUUCUGUUAUCAACCUGCUUAUUUAAUUUAUAUACAGAGUUCAUCAUGUGAAAUGCCAGGCUGGAUGAAGCACAGGCUGGAAUAAAAAUUUGGGGGAGAAAUAUCAACAACCUCAGAUAUGCAGAUGAUACCAUCCUAAUGGAAGAAAAUGAAGAGGAACUAAAGAGCCUCUUGAUAAAGGUGAAAUAGGAGAAUUAAAAAGCUCACCUAAAACUCAAUAUUCAAAAAACUAAGAUCAUGGCAUCCAGUCCCAUAACUUCAUGGGAAAUAGAUGGGGAAAAAGUGAAAACAGUGGCAUAUUUUAUUUUCUUGGGCUCCAAAAUCAUUGUGGACAAUAUCAGAAGCCAUGAAAUUAAAAGAUGCUUUCCACUUGGAAGGAAAGCUAUGACAAACCUGUGUGUGUGUUAACUCGCUUCAGUUGUGUCUGAUUCUGCGACCAUAUGGACUGUAGCCCACCAGGCUCCUCUGUCCAUGGGAUUCUCCAGGCAACAAUACCGGAGUGGGUUGCCAUGCUCUCCUCCAGUGAAUCUUCCCAAUAAAGUACUAUAAAUUCCUGUAAAAAUACUACUAUUCUACAUCUAUACAAUGGAAAUAUCACACAAAAGGUACCUUUAACACAAGGUUUCUUGUUAAUACGGUUUAAUAACUCACAGAGUAAUGGAAGAGGCACCUUGAUGGAUCUUGUUAUUGUCUUAGAUUCUCAUCUGAUGUUUUAUUUCAUACAUUUGUUAAGAUUUUUCAAUCAUGUACCCAGGUAGGCCAUCAUUACCAGAAAUUAAUACUACAUUUAAAUAUAACCUUUCCUAUUCAAUCUAAAUGCAAAUAAAAUGAGCAUGGUAUGAUAUUCUAUUAGGGACUAGUGGCACUGUGACAGGCUUAGUGAAUUCUAUGAAUGUAGAGACUUUAGCAUCUAGAUUAUAACACACUGAUAAAGGUAUAGCCCAAGCUUUAACUAUUAAUGCUAAAUGGAUACCUACUACUUUCAAACCAUAUUAGCUCAGUUAAGAUUAUGAUAAAAGUUUCUUACUAUUGUUCAAUGCUUCAUUAAUAGAUUAGAUCAAACUGUACAUAUAAUUUAAAAGUUUAAAUGGACUAUGUGUUCUAAUCAAACACUGUAUUACCUUGUUCAAAAGGACAAAGCCCAAGAAAUACUAAUGUCUACCAAAGUAUAUGCUUAGAGAAAAAUAUUUAAAGAAUGAAUAACUAAAGAUCAUUAUAUAUUAAUCAUUAUAUAUUAAUAAAGGAAAAGCUGGACGUGAGAAAGCUUGGUGCAAGGGGACUAUAUUGCAUUAUAAUGUACCAUUGCCUUUGGAAAAGAAUUUUGGUUACCCCAUUUCACAGAAAACUGUUUGGAUUUCAAUAACCACACCCACUGAUUAACGGACUGUGGGAGAGCUGCCAAGGGACUACUCUGUGGCCAGACUUCUUGUAUCUGGGAAUCCUGCUUAUUAGAAAACUUGAUCAAAUGGACUAUUUUUCCUCAAUCUUAUAAAAUACUUCUUGAAGUCACUUUCCAAUUUAUUUGUGUUAUAAUCAAUGAUUUAAACACAACCUCUAAUUAUCGGCUAGAAGUUCCAUUUUCAGGAUGUUUAGCACAUAUAGAUCAUUUAUAUAAGAAAGGAACCACAUACUAUUGCUCUCCUGUAAAAGAACAAUUGUUGCAGACUCAAAUGUUAAUUCCUACUUUACCUGUCCCCGAUAUUAGUUUACCAUUAGAACUCCUACAUAAAAUCCUAGAAGAAGCAAAAGAAUUACAGAUUUAUAAAAAGAAUUUAUAAAUAAGCAUCACUCUACUUUAUUAGAACAUUUUAUUGUUACUAUUACUGCAGCUAACAAAUUAAUGGAUGUAGGUAUUAAUGUCCAAAAGCAUACUUCUCAUUCUCGGUGGGACAUUUUCUUUUCUCAGUCUCCCACUGAGCCAUAUUGUUUUCUGCAUUGUUUAACUCACUGUUGAUGAUCUUGAUUGUAUUGUUCUUAUUAACCAUAUGGAAAUGUUAUCUAUCUUAAUGCAUUACGAAAACUGCUAGAGAGACCUUUCCUUAUUCUUCUGCUCUUCAGUCUAAACAAUGCUGAGGCUGAAUGUUGGGGAAAGUAAUAGAAGUAGUCUUGUUCAGACUUCAGAGGAAAUGAUAGGCCUUGACUGAACAGAGACCUCGAAAGGAGUUACACAACAAGCUGCUAAUCAGCAGAAAUGGUGAAAGUAGUUUUGGGGAACUAACAAAUAAGGAAGGGAAUAAGUCACAAGGAAUGGAAUGAGUUACGAAGUUUCCUGAGCCUUGAGAAUCUGGCCAGCUCCCAGGGAUCAGUGAACAUUCUGAGACAUGACUAGCGAUACCAGCAUUUAGCUUAUUAGUCAGAACUGUAUAUUUACAUGAUGAUUAUCAGCUUGCAGUUUGGCAAUAAAAGUAGGACUCCUUUGGACGGCACCUUGAAGUCUCACGUGUGGGUGGACACAUGCCUGGGACUUCUCAAUUGAGGACUCCAGAGUGCUAUUCCAGGGUCUUCCAGCAUUGCCUGAAUCUGGAUGUAGGUAUGUCCCCAGUUUGGUGAUGUAUAUAUUUGUUUCUUGCUAUACUACUUGUGGAUCUUCCAACUGGUACUCCAAACUGGAUCUAGAUGUAGAAGCUUUUCUAAUUUGGUGAUAUAUGUUUGUGUGUGUGUGUGUGUGUAUAUAUAUAUAUACACACACACACACAUGUAUUUCUUGUGGCAAUGUAUAUGUGUGUGUGUUAGUCACUUGGUCAUGUCUGAGUCUUUGCGAUCCCAUGGACUGGAGCCUGCCAGGUUCCAUGAAAUUCUCUAGGCAAGAAUACUGGAGUGAGUUGCCAUUCCCUUCUCCAGGAAACUUCCCAACCCAGGGAUCGAACCCAGGUCUCCUGCAUUGCAGGCAUUUUCUUUACUCAGUCUCCCACUGAGCCAUAUUGUUUUCUGCAUUGUUUAACUCACUGUUGAUGAUCUUGAUUGUAUUGUUCUUAUUAACCAUAUGGAAAUGUUAUCUAUCUUAAUGCAUUACGAAAACUGCUAGAGAGACCUUUCCUUAUUCUUCUGCUCUUCAGUCUAAACAAUGCUGAGGCUGAAUGUUGGGGAAAGUAAUAGAAGUAGUCUUGUUCAGACUUCAGAGGAAAUGAUAGGCCUUGACUGAACAGAGACCUCGAAAGGAGUUACACAACAAGCUGCUAAUCAGCAGAAAUGGUGAAAGUAGUUUUGGGGAACUAACAAAUAAGGAAGGGAAUAAGUCACAAGGAAUGGAAUGAGUUACGAAGUUUCCUGAGCCUUGAGAAUCUGGCCAGCUCCCAGGGAUCAGUGAACAUUCUGAGACAUGACUAGCGAUACCAGCAUUUAGCUUAUUAGUCAGAACUGUAUAUUUACAUGAUGAUUAUCAGCUUGCAGUUUGGCAAUAAAAGUAGGACUCCUUUGGACGGCACCUUGAAGUCUCACGUGUGGGUGGACACAUGCCUGGGACUUCUCAAUUGAGGACUCCAGAGUGCUAUUCCAGGGUCUUCCAGCAUUGCCUGAAUCUGGAUGUAGGUAUGUCCCCAGUUUGGUGAUGUAUAUAUUUGUUUCUUGCUAUACUACUUGUGGAUCUUCCAACUGGUACUCCAAACUGGAUCUAGAUGUAGAAGCUUUUCUAAUUUGGUGAUAUAUGUUUGUGUGUGUGUGUGUGUAU